This 639-nucleotide ribosomal RNA is filed under the name Triticum aestivum (bread wheat). RNAcentral describes it as "partial small subunit ribosomal RNA". The record is from RNAcentral. Lineage: Eukaryota; Viridiplantae; Streptophyta; Magnoliopsida; Poales; Poaceae.
AUGGACCACAACAAGGCCCCGGGCCCGGAUAGUUUUCCAGCUGAUUUCUAUCAGAACUUCUAGGAGGUUAUAAAACCGGACCUUCUAGACUUCUUUGGCCACCUCCGUGCUAGGCAACUAGAAUUGUUUCGCCUAAACUUCGUUGAGAUAAUUUUACUACCUAAGGUUAAUGAGGUUGUAAGGAUACAACAAUAUAGACCUAUUUGUCUCCUUAAUGUUAGUUUUAAGAUUUUCACAAAAGUUGGAAUGAUUAGGCUAAACUCAGUGGCUGACCAUGCGGUUCGCCCCUCCCAGACAACAUUCAUGCAGGGUAGAAACAUCCUAGAUGGUGUUGUAAUCCUCCAUGAAACAGUUCAUGAACUGCAUCAAAAAAAGUUGAGUGGGGUAAUACUCGAAAUUGACUUUGAAAAGGCGUAUGAUAAAGUCAAGUGGUCUUUUCUCCAGCAGACUCUCAGAAUGAAAUGCUUCUCUGCAAAGUGGUGCGCUCUGAUCCAUAGCUUCAUUUCUGGAGGGAGUGUGGCCAUUAAAGUCAACGAUGACGUCAGCCACUACUUACAAACGAAUAAAGGAUUGAGACAAGGUGACUUAUUAUGGCCCAUGUUAUUUAAUAUAGUGGCUAAUGUUAGCUAUCAUGAUUGA